This 502-nucleotide ribosomal RNA is filed under the name uncultured bacterium. Its description in RNAcentral is "partial 16S ribosomal RNA". It matches the Rfam family "Bacterial small subunit ribosomal RNA", at positions 30 to 523 of the family's 1533-position model. The record is from RNAcentral.
AUUGAACGCUGGCGGCAGGCUUAACACAUGCAAGUCGAGCGGGGUGAUGGUGCUUGCACUAUCACUUAGCGGCGGACGGGUGAGUAAUGCUUAGGAAUCUGCCUAUUAGUGGGGGACAACAUCUCGAAAGGGAUGCUAAUACCGCAUACGUCCUACGGGAGGAAGCAGGGGAUCACUUGUGACCUUGCGCUAAUAGAUGAGCCUAAGUCGGAUUAGCUAGUUGGUGGGGUAGAGGCCUACCAAGGAGACGAUCUGUAGCGGGUCUGAGAGGAUGAUCCGCCACACUGGGACUGAGACACGGCCCAGACUCCUACGGGAGGCAGCAGUGGGGAAUAUUGGACAUGGGGGGAACCCUGAUCCAGCCAUGCCGCGUGUGUGAAGAAGGCCUUAUGGUUGUAAAGCACUUUAAGCGAGGAGGAGGCUCUUUUGGUUAAUACCCAAGAUGAGUGGACGUUACUCGCAGAAUAAGCACCGGCUAACUCUGUGCCAGCAGCCGCAGUAA